Molecule: non-coding RNA, 103 nt
Organism: Solanum tuberosum (potato)
Lineage: Eukaryota; Viridiplantae; Streptophyta; Magnoliopsida; Solanales; Solanaceae
Source: Rfam
GUUGAGGGGAAUGUUGUUUGGUUCGAAAUCAUUCAACAAAUUAAAGUCCAUCUCGAUGAUCAAUGAAUUGAAUGAUUUCGGACCAGGCUUCAUUCCUCCCAAC